UACAGAGGUCUCAAGCGUUGUUCGGAUUCAUUGGGCGUAAAGGGUGUGUAGGUGGCGCGCUAAGUCGGGUGUGAAAUUUCGGAGCUUAACUCCGAAACUGCAUUCGAUACUGGCGUGCUUGAGGACUGGAGAGGAGACUGGAAUUCAUGGUGUAGCAGUGAAAUGCGUAGAGAUCAUGAGGAAGACCAGUGGCGAAGGCGACUGCCUGGACCAGCACUGACACUGAGGCACGAAAGCGUGGGGAGCAAACAGG
Molecule: ribosomal RNA, 253 nt
Filed under: uncultured bacterium
Lineage: Bacteria
Description: partial 16S ribosomal RNA
Rfam family: Bacterial small subunit ribosomal RNA
Source: RNAcentral